RNAcentral lists this long non-coding RNA (1041 nucleotides) under Pan troglodytes (chimpanzee). Its description in RNAcentral is "long non-coding RNA NONPTRT001991". The record is from RNAcentral. Lineage: Eukaryota; Metazoa; Chordata; Mammalia; Primates; Hominidae.
AAUUCUGUGACUCACCUAAAGGCAUUCUGUUAGAGUAAAGGCUGGAACUUAGGUACACCUGUUUGGGCAGGCAGCAGAUGGCACACUCAGAGGGUUAAGUAAAACAUCUAGCGACAGAAUGCAACCCUCUGAGGUCAGUUCCCAGGAGGCAGAGCACAGCAGGGUGGUGUGGAGUGUGUCUGGACGGGCACACAAACAUCUAGCGACAGAAUGCAACCCUCUGAGGCCAGUUCCCAGGAUGCAGAGCUCAGCAGGGCGGGGUAGAGUGUGUCUAGACGGGCACACAAACAUCUAGCAACAGAAUGCAACCGUCUGAGGCCAGUUCCCAGGAUGCAGAGCACAGCAGGGCGGUGCAGAGUGUGUCUGGACGGGCACACAAACAUCUAGCAACAGAAUGCAACCCUCUGAGGCCAGUUCCCAGGAUGCAGAGUUCAGCAUGAAACAUUCAAGUUCCCAACAGAAGAGAAAUACAAAGUUCUCCUAGCAGCAGUAGUUUUGAAUGAUGAUUUCAAUUCAGUUACACUCCCACUGGGACCCUCUAUAGAAAUGCAAGCCACCAUCUUCUAAAAUUCUUACUAAGUCCUGAAACAGACACACCCCCUCUCUGCUAAUACACAUUGAGGGAACCUAUUUUUCUGUAUGGGAUGGGAACUCAUCAACAAAAUCUGCUUUUUAUUUCACUUGUUAUAAACCCUGAGAGCAACAUCUCCCAUGUUUGGUGAACUUUCAGAAAUUGAUCCUUAAUUUAGAUAAAUAAAAUCAUUGCUUUUUCUGUAUUCUGUAAAAUUCAAAUUAAAACCCAGGCUGAUGUAGCCAAAUGUUUUUGCUUUGCCUAGUUUAAAAGUUCCAAUGAGAAAACAAUGGUUUAAGGAGAGAACAGUAUCUAUUUUGCUUUUUAAAGCUGUAAUAAACAUUGAUAUUCUGUUAAUGUAAUCAAUUUUUUUAACUUUUGUAUUGAAACAAUAGAUUUACCUUUUACCAUGUUAAGUUGAUGACAUCUGUACAAAAAUAUAAAUUUUUCCUUUGAGAAAAUGGAAAUGC